RNAcentral lists this ribosomal RNA (330 nucleotides) under uncultured Sulfurospirillum sp. RNAcentral's name for it is "bacterial SSU rRNA". It matches the Rfam family "Bacterial small subunit ribosomal RNA", at positions 328 to 675 of the family's 1533-position model. Lineage: Bacteria; Pseudomonadati; Campylobacterota; Epsilonproteobacteria; Campylobacterales; Sulfurospirillaceae. The record is from RNAcentral.
UUCUAUUACUCCUACGGGAGGCAGCAGUGGGGAAUAUUGCACAAUGGAGGAAACUCUGAUGCAGCAACGCCGCGUGGAGGAUGACGCAUUUCGGUGUGUAAACUCCUUUUAUAAGGGAAGAUAAUGACGGUACCUUAUGAAUAAGCACCGGCUAACUCCGUGCCAGCAGCCGCGGUAAUACGGAGGGUGCAAGCGUUACUCGGAAUCACUGGGCGUAAAGGAUGCGUAGGCUGGAAAUCAAGUCGAGAGUGAAAUCCAACGGCUCAACCGUUGAACUGCUCUCGAAACUGGUUACCUAGAAUAUGGGAGAGGUAGAUGGAAUUGGUGGUG